GUGCCAGCCGCCGCGGUAAUACAGAGGGUGCUAGCGUUGUUCGGAAUUAUUGGGCGUAAAGCGCGUGUAGGCGGCCUUGCAAGUUGGGUGUGAAAGCCCUCGGCUUAACCGAGGAAGUGCGCCCAAAACUACAGGGCUUGAGUACCGGAGAGGGUGGCGGAAUUCCCGGUGUAGAGGUGAAAUUCGUAGAUAUCGGGAGGAACACCAGUGGCGAAGGCGGCCACCUGGACGGAUACUGACGCUGAGACGCGAAAGCGUGGGUAGCAAACAGGAUUAGAAACCCCCGUAGUCC
This 292-nucleotide ribosomal RNA is filed under the name uncultured bacterium. Its description in RNAcentral is "partial 16S ribosomal RNA". It matches the Rfam family "Bacterial small subunit ribosomal RNA", at positions 505 to 796 of the family's 1533-position model. The record is from RNAcentral.